GCAGACUCACUCUGCACCUGGCUUUAGCCCCAGGCGGGUACUUUUUCUAUCUGCCAGAGCAGCUCUGGGGUGCUGCGGCCACUUCAACUCAAGCUGUUGAGUGAUGCAGCUGCCCUUGGGAACACAGUG
This is a small nucleolar RNA of Ochotona curzoniae (black-lipped pika), 129 nucleotides long. RefSeq annotates it as small nucleolar RNA SNORA77. The transcript has a single exon. NCBI's taxonomy places the organism in Eukaryota, Metazoa, Chordata, Mammalia, Lagomorpha, Ochotonidae. The record is from RefSeq and is a predicted model, not a curated record.